This 752-nucleotide ribosomal RNA is filed under the name Acinetobacter sp. RNAcentral's name for it is "bacterial SSU rRNA". It matches the Rfam family "Bacterial small subunit ribosomal RNA", at positions 55 to 803 of the family's 1533-position model. Lineage: Bacteria; Pseudomonadati; Pseudomonadota; Gammaproteobacteria; Moraxellales; Moraxellaceae. The record is from RNAcentral.
AUGCAGUCGAGCGGAGAUGAGGUGCUUGCACCUUAUCUUAGCGGCGGACGGGUGAGUAAUGCUUAGGAAUCUGCCUAUUAGUGGGGGACAACAUUCCGAAAGGAAUGCUAAUACCGCAUACGCCCUACGGGGGAAAGCAGGGGAUCUUCGGACCUUGCGCUAAUAGAUGAGCCUAAGUCGGAUUAGCUAGUUGGUGGGGUAAAGGCCUACCAAGGCGACGAUCUGUAGCGGGUCUGAGAGGAUGAUCCGCCACACUGGGACUGAGACACGGCCCAGACUCCUACGGGAGGCAGCAGUGGGGAAUAUUGGACAAUGGGCGGAAGCCUGAUCCAGCCAUGCCGCGUGUGUGAAGAAGGCCUUUUGGUUGUAAAGCACUUUAAGCGAGGAGGAGGCUACUUAGAUUAAUACUCUAGGAUAGUGGACGUUACUCGCAGAAUAAGCACCGGCUAACUCUGUGCCAGCAGCCGCGGUAAUACAGAGGGUGCGAGCGUUAAUCGGAUUUACUGGGCGUAAAGCGUGCGUAGGCGGCUGAUUAAGUCGGAUGUGAAAUCCCUGAGCUUAACUUAGGAAUUGCAUUCGAUACUGGUCAGCUAGAGUAUGGGAGAGGAUGGUAGAAUUCCAGGUGUAGCGGUGAAAUGCGUAGAGAUCUGGAGGAAUACCGAUGGCGAAGGCAGCCAUCUGGCCUAAUACUGACGCUGAGUACGAAAGCAUGGGGAGCAAACAGGAUUAGAUACCCUGGUAGUCCAUGCCGU